Molecule: transfer RNA, 72 nt
Filed under: Camelus bactrianus (Bactrian camel)
Lineage: Eukaryota; Metazoa; Chordata; Mammalia; Artiodactyla; Camelidae
Also listed under: 1 other name
Rfam family: tRNA
About the family: Transfer RNA (tRNA) molecules are approximately 80 nucleotides in length. Their secondary structure includes four short double-helical elements and three loops (D, anti-codon, and T loops).
Source: Rfam by way of RNAcentral
GGAGGUAUAGCUCAGUGGUAGAGCAUAUGCUUAGCAUGCAUGAGGCCCUGGGUUCAAUCCCCAGCACCUCCA